CACAGAGAGCUUGCUCUCGGGUGACGAGUGGCGGACGGGUGAGUAAUGUCUGGGGAUCUGCCCGAUAGAGGGGGAUAACCACUGGAAACGGUGGCUAAUACCGCAUAACGUCGCAAGACCAAAGAGGGGGACCUUCGGGCCUCUCACUAUCGGAUGAACCCAGAUGGGAUUAGCUAGUAGGCGGGGUAAUGGCCCACCUAGGCGACGAUCCCUAGCUGGUCUGAGAGGAUGACCAGCCACACUGGAACUGAGACACGGUCCAGACUCCUACGGGAGGCAGCAGUGGGGAAUAUUGCACAAUGGGCGCAAGCCUGAUGCAGCCAUGCCGCGUGUAUGAAGAAGGCCUUCGGGUUGUAAAGUACUUUCAGCGGGGAGGAAGGCGACGUGGUUAAUAACCGCGUCGAUUGACGUUACCCGCAGAAGAAGCACCGGCUAACUCCGUGCCAGCAG
RNAcentral lists this ribosomal RNA (450 nucleotides) under Pantoea sp. LL89. RNAcentral describes it as "bacterial SSU rRNA". It matches the Rfam family "Bacterial small subunit ribosomal RNA", at positions 70 to 514 of the family's 1533-position model. The record is from RNAcentral. Lineage: Bacteria; Pseudomonadati; Pseudomonadota; Gammaproteobacteria; Enterobacterales; Erwiniaceae.